Molecule: long non-coding RNA, 5516 nt
Organism: Tribolium castaneum (red flour beetle)
Lineage: Eukaryota; Metazoa; Arthropoda; Insecta; Coleoptera; Tenebrionidae
Exons: 2
Source: RefSeq, a predicted model, not a curated record
CGAAUUUCGAGCGUCAAAUAAUUAAAAACACUAACUAAAUAUUUGCCGAGAUUUAUUCGGCACACAAUGCUGUGAGCCGCAAAUCUCGCAGUCUUCGGCGUGUUAAUUGUGAAAACUCUAAACAAUUACGAAAUUUCGCAUAAAAAUAGAACCGGGGCGCCACUUGCCGGGCAUCGGAACAAACGAGUCCAUUGCCGGAGUACUUACUUGAUUUUUGUGAAGAUUGUGGUUCAAGACACAUUCCGUCAUGAAAUAAGCCACCAUUGCGUUCCCGCCUAGCGCUGUCACAUGUGCGCGAACAAUCGCCAACACCUCGGUCACAAAGCUGUGGAUGAAACCGCUCAACCCACCCUCCUGCAAGAUUAAUAACACGAACAUAAAACGCCGAUUUUAAACCAAACUUGUGAAACUGGCGCAGUCGGUAGGUCCCUAAGCAAGAAAUUAGCGACUCACUUCUCGAAUCGAAGUUGUUUCCCUAAUAAAAAAGAAGUUCAAAUUGCCUAAAUAGUGCUCGAUUUUCCCGCCAGGGACGUAGGAUAAGGGGGUGAUGUCGACCCCGUGUCGCUCUUUAUACGGCACCUGCAACACUCAAAUAAUGCGACGAAACAAACGGUUUUUGAGUACAUGUCUCUGCUUGACGGUUUGGAUCCUGUUUCUUGAGGGCGACUUCUGGCGUAGCCGCAUACUGUGGGUGUUUAGGUGCGUCUGAGUGACGCUGUUUUCGGGUAUUUGAUCCUCCUCCAAGUUAAAAAUCAUGUCGUCUUCUAAAAAACAAAUUAAACCACAAUAAUUAACCGAAAUAGACCCAACCGUAUCGUUUCGUGAGCGUGUUUUUGCGUUUGAACCUCAUUUUUUGCGGGUCGCCCAACCCCAAAGCCAUCCCUUUAACAAAUCGUGGAUAAUCGUGGUUAAAAAAAAUCGGAGACUACCUAAAACGCAUAGUUGGAUUUCAUCGGUUUCCGGUAAAUCGACCCGGAACUGCAGGUCGCACAAGGCGCACGGGACCAUUCUGCGUAACUUGAAAUAGACACUUUGGAGGAGUCGGUGCAAGUGGACGUCGAAACUGUAAGGGGGUUGAAAUUUCGCGCGGUAGAUUUGGGUAAACAUUUGGAGGUUUUUCACGAUUUCUAGCUCCUCCAAGCCGGGGACGAACUCAGUGUUAACCACGUGGAAGCCGUCAGGGGGGCGCUGCUCCAUUAACAUGUUGACGACAUCGGCGUCCUCGGGAUCAUCAACCUGAAAGAAAUUAAAAAAACGGCCGGGGCACAAUUUUCACUUACUUCCAGCACGCAACAGUCUUUAUUGCCCAGGGAUAAGUCAAUCGAAGUUUGUUCUUCUUCGGAGUCGUCGUCUGACAAAACCCGGCCGUUUUGGCACUCAUCCUACGUAACCAAAAGUCAGUGCUUGGCAAGCGUCAGUUUGGUUAAUUCUUACACUUUUCAAUUGGUAAAUCUCCCGAUUUUUUUUCACCGUUUCGUUCAAAAGCUUCUGCAAGUCGGCUAAUUUUUUUUCGUCGGACGACCGAUCCGACACUAGUUUUGGUAAUACUGGGGUGGGUAAAGGUGUGAGAAAAACGGCCGUGCCGGUCGCAAGUCCCACUAGUGUUUUUUCGCCGAUUGAAAUUCGAAUUUUGAGCCCAAAGAUCGCGUUCAUUCCCUUUAUUUUCAAUUUAUUGAUGAGCAAACGGUGCAGUUCGUAUUCGAGAAAGGGGAGACCGUCGGAAAUCUCCUUGGCGUUCGAUUCGCCCCUCAAAUCUUUCAAUUGCCUGCAAAAACACGUAGGAAAAAACAACACCACGUGUGCCUACAUACCUACAAACAAAUGACUGGAUGAAACAACCGCGCCCGAUAGUCGGCGCCCCAUCCGGGAGCUCAAUCGUCGCAAUUAACACAUCGGGGACUUUCCCCGUCCGGCAAAUCCCGCAUUUUAACACCGUAGCCCUAAUCGGGACAUUAUUGCUAUUGUAGGGUAGGUGGCACAGAGUGCACGAGGGGGUAACGUGCCCAGGGACAACGUCGCGCUCUGGGCUCUCUGGUAACACUUUCUUCUACAAAUUCUCAGUUUAGGACACAUUUCACACGCGCUUUUAUUACAUUCUCUAGUGCCUUUUUGUGCUCUUUUUCGAAGUCGCUGCGGUCGAGAGACGUGCAAAGCAGGUCCUUGUUGUGCUGGCGCGUGAUCAGAGGGAGCCCCCCGAUGCUGUCGCCCAUUUCGCCCGUGUACUGGAAGCCUAUGACGGCCGCGGUGCCGCUCGCGCUCAAAACGCACACAUCCUCGCUGAAAUUGAAUUAAUUCGUGUCGCACCGAUGGCGCGCUAAUUACCAAAUGCUCGUGGUCUCCGAAUAGCCCAACACGGCGUUACAGUUCAAAGCUCUAGCGUGAGAGCGUAUUUCCAUCCGGAUCUCCGACCACCAAGUGUCCCUCGAUUCGGGUUCCUCCAGAUUUGAUAUUCUUUCGAGUAACUUGACCGAACGUGCACUGACUGCGCCUCCUUGAAAAUCAUCAUGAUUGAGUGACUACAACUUGCUGGUUUUUACCCAAUUGUGUGAUAAAACCCUGAGGAUAUUUGGUCAUUGUCAGAAACGGGUAUUCGAGCAUGUCGAAAUUUUCCUGCGGGACUGUGGCUCUUAGAAAGUUGUUUUUGAAUAAAUGGCCGUUGAGGCCGCCGGCCGCCGACCUGUCGCUUCCAGUUAAACUGUUCCCUGGGCAAGGUUUCGAGAAAUGAGUGGGUGGUUCGCUAGUUCUGCUCCACACCACGGAAUAACAUUCAGGGACGUGCCACCUGAUUGAUUAAAUCAUUCACAGCAAGUGGACCUGACCUGACCUGGCUGAUUGCCAGGUCAGUCGCCUAGGUUGCGAAUAAUUUAAUCAGUGCUAGUGACGCCCUUUAGUUAUUUUACUCCGUGCGCUACACUGAUUAGGAUAGGUUAAAGAAUGACUGUCUAGUCUAACGUUGCGACAUAAAAUGCUAAUGUCUUUUGAGUUGAAAUGAGUAUGUUAGUGACCCCAGUCGUGAAACAUUAAACAGUAAAGUAAAUGAUGCAACAGUUAUUUCUGGCAAGCGCAUUAUACUCACUUUUCCUAAAGAAUCCUAUGGUAAGAAAUAAUCAACCAAGAAAAGAAAAAAAACGCUUUAAAAUGAUAUCUAAACCGUGGGGUUUUUAAUCGACUGACUCUAUUGCAAUGACUUGAAAUGGGUUAAAACAAAACCGACCCACCUUUCGGGGUGAUGCUCAGGUCAGAGUCCGACGAUCGUCGGUAGAUGCAAGGUACGCUAUUUAGUUUCGCAGGAGAUUGUACCAUUUUUGUACCAACUGACUCCGCGCGAUGGUGGCCGGGUUCAGGCAGGUGUUCCGGGAUUGGUGAACUAUUGUUCCUAAGAGAAGGGGUUAAGCUCGCAUGCAUAUUAUUGCAAGUGCCUCGAUCAAUUUCUGUAUUGACAGCUGAGGCAGUGUCACACUCGGUUACAUUAUUGUCAUUAGUACAAGUUAAUAUAGUCGAGGAAGGGAACACGGGACAUUUAUUAUCUUUCUUCUGAGCUUUGUCAACCUGAGACGUCGCUAGAAUAUCCUGGACCGUCUCCAUCACGACAUUUCCGAGAGCUGUUCCCAACAGACCGUGUUUCUUAACCGGGUUUUUAUCCUCGUUACGCGGGCGGUGCAAAAACGAGAAUCUUUUCUUAUGCAAUUCGUCAGGUUCGUGCGACUUGCGACGACUCAAAUGCAAAAAACUGAACCUUUUUUUACGCAAUUGUUCACUCGAAUCUAGCGCACUGUCCGAAAAACAGCUCGAUUUGGUAAUCAGUGACGGGUUCGAUUGUCGGAUGUUACUCAUCGACAUGAAGGGCGCCCCAAGGACAGUUUCGCGUUUAUGGGAACAAUCAUCGAGAGAUAUAGCGGUGGAAGAGCGGGGUAAUUUGCCCAAAUUAACGGAACUUAGCGACGGAGUGGGCGAAACCACACUGAAGACGCUUGAUUUUGUUGGGGAGGCUGGGGACAUUGGGGGUGUGUAGGUCCCCACGAUAUUAACUUUUUCUAAUAGUAUUGUUUGCAUGGCUGUUUUAAACAAACCCUUGUGUUUGAUAUCACUAGUUAUGUUCACUGGUGGAAGUAUACUUUCGGAUUUAGGUUCAGUUGGUUCUAACUCGUCUGAUUCUUCAUCAGUUUCGAUUUUAGCAAUGGGGGCGCGCAAAGUUUCUAAAUAAUCCUCGGGGAUAUCUUCCGGGGUCUUGUCAUCUUUUGACACGUCCGGGAAUAGGAAAGGAUUGUCGGGUUCGUCACAUUCUUCCUCUCCAAACGGCAAAGUCGGCAUGGACAUUUGCUUGAUGUAACUUUUAUUUGUAUUGUUUUGUUCCAACAAUUCGACGUUCUUAACGAUGUUACUGACAGUUUCAAAAUUGAUAUCUUUCGAGUCUGAGUUUUCCUCCUCAUCUUCCGAGCUUAAAGACGGCGAACUUGACGACGAAACAAUACUCAGAAGUGGCUCAGACGCGGUUUUUUCCAAAACCGAGACAGUUUCAAUUUCUUCAUUCAUCUCUUCACUUUCGGAAGAAACCGCGUCUUCCAAAAUACACGUCAGACUAUUAUGGGCAUGUAUGACCGACCGGGCCAACAUUUCCGCCAUGACGCUCGAAUCGCUCACUGUCCUUUUGAACUUUAAAUAUCUCUUCUUCUCCGGGACACUCUCCUGGUCAAUUUCUUCCCCGAUCCCGGAGUCCCCCAGCUUCGCUUUCAAGGCAAUCAUUUUUUUCGAUAACAUAUUCUGUGAGGAGUAUUUGAAUUUGCGAAACUUUUGACUAAGCCCGUAACCGGGAGUUCCCCUCAUAUCCUCCUGCUUGAGUAACGUCCGAACCGAGGUGUGAUGCAUCGGCUCGUGCAAAGUCGGGUUAGAUCGCGUCGAUCUAAGCUCAGUUUGGUAGAUAUGUUUCGGCAAAUGUUUGUACCGCGGGUUGUCUAUAUCAAGGGUGGGGAUAAGGGGUUUCGGGUGCGAGGACUGGAGCUCAGGGAGGCGGAAGCUUGCCUGGGAGCCAAGGAAUUUUAAGUAACUCUGUGCACGCCUACAUGCAACAGGACAAAAAAUAUUAUUUUCAAGUUCGUUGCUUAUUUAAUCGGCACCGAGGGGAAAGUUACAUUGAAACACACACGUGAAUUGCGACUCUCCCCUCGGUUGUUGCUAUACUUACUCUUCGUUCAGGAUAGUCGGGUGGGGUGCGUCCAUAAUUCGCGCUAGUGUGACAGCAGUUCCGAUCCCGCGAGCCACAAUUCCCGACUCUCCCUCCAAGUCAAAGCACUGACAGUAGCCAAUAACGGCAUUCCCGCCUAGAUCUAGCGCUUUUACCCCGAUUUUUCGCUGCAACUCCCCCGAUAACUUAAAGAAGAGAGUCUGACGGGCUUCGUUGGAAGCCCGCGGUGUCCGAAUUUUGUCAAUCCAUUGGUAUUCAGGGUCGUCAUUGACUAUGAGUUCCUCGACGAAACCAUGAACCGUUUGAGCAAAAUAUCCAUGCGGGAUGGAUUUGG